CACUUUGUACGCCCUUAGGAAGAUCCUUAAGCUUGGGGUGCAGUUUUCCUUGAUGAUCUUUAAGGUGUCUCUCGCAGAGUAGUUUAGUGGCCUCGACAUCGUCUGCAUGUCGAUCAUGUAGUUUUUAACUGACUCACUGAAACCAUGUUUUCGUUGCCUGCCUGAUCCGACAGCCUUGUGAAGAAAUCUCUCGGCAGAAAGUAAAGGAAGCUCUCAAUGAACUCUGCCCAGGUUUUCCAUUGUUUAUUGUUGGCGAUAAACCACUUAAACGCCCUUCCUUUCAGCAACUCCGGCAUCGCUCGGGGGAUCAUGUCUAGCUCUAAACCGUAGGUGUUGGCGGACCAUUCUACUUGUACCAGAAACUCGAACGGUUUCUCCGCCCCGUCGAACCUGAAUGACCACUCGCGGACUUGUUUAGCGACCCUUGCAUAAUCUGACUGGCUGGGUCUAGAGGUCAGCACUGCUGUCUUCCUGUCCUGGCUUGAAUCUCUCCUGUAAGCCUCCCUUUGCAAGUUGUCGACACUAAAGCUUGUUACUAGGUUAUCCCCUUCAGCGUUCGUUAGCGUUAUACACAGCUUCCAGCUCAGCCCAGAUGUCGGCAAGUUGUGGGUUAUUCUCUGUCUCGGAGUAAUACUCCGACAAUGUCUUCCUCAUGUCCUCUAAUCUGCCGUCCAGGGCGUCAUUAAGUCUUUGUGCGACCUGGGCGAAGACCUCCUUCUUAAGGCGGUAAAUCCACUUUUUUCCCAUUAUGUUUAUUUUGCUUUCACUGCGCCAGAUGUAACAAACUGAUUUGUUUGCUUUCUGUUCGCUACGAGAUUCGUGCGUCUCGCUCAGUAGAUUGUGUGUGUUCGUCCCACCAAAUUUGUAUAAACGUAACCGCCCAGUAGUUCAUUGAGAAAGCACAGAAUUCACGGGUUCGUAGUGGGUUCAUUGCGGGUAUAACUGCGGUCGGCUUUAUAAUUUGCUUGUCUCGCUGUCUCCGCCGGUAUGGGUUGUCUCGAUGUUCGCUUGCCUCGUUGUCACGGUGUUCCAGUUUUGUCGCUCCCUGAAGAUCCUUGUCCGCUGCUUGUUCCUGACGCGUUUGGCUCGGUGACUGCUCGGCCACGAUUCAGACUCGUUAUGGGGUCAGCCGUGCGGGCUAAGGGUAGCGUCACCGUUCUUAGACUAGAGUGAACAGACUGACGAGUUCUCCAGGAUCUGAAAGGAAGCUGCCUCGCUUUUCACUUCGCUUCUACGCCUGGUAUAAACGAACGUUCCACCCUAGCCUCACCCUUUCGCGUACUGUCUGUGCCGUUCCUGCGGGCUCGAUUCUCCUUGCCAGCUGGCUGGUGGCGGCGUCCUGCGAACUGCUCCUGACUGGGUGGCUAUGCGUGACUUCUGUGUUGGGUUCGUAGGCAUACCCGGGACUUCUCUCCCUUCGGUCUCGUCGCGCCAGGACUUGCUCAACUCCACUUGGCGCACGGGGCUCCCGCCGGGACAUGCCUAAGUAGUGCUUGGGGCGAGGUACAAUGUUGUUUGACAGGCUUACCCCCGAGCUCACGAUUUCUUGUCGACGGCCUUCACUGCUCCCAGUCUGGUAGAUCCUCCAGGCGUAACGCCAGGACCUCGUUGGCAAAAAUAAGCAGACCGCCUUGACUUAGCCGUGUGGUGCCCCUUCAGACCUCAGCCACCUGCGUCUCAGUCCGGAGACUCCUGAUCCCGAACGUCUUGACGUGUCAAUCUUGCUCCUUGUAGGCUCCCACGGUGCUGCUUUCGACGACUCGCCUUGUGGUGGCUCCCUCGUAGUUUACUUGGUUGGGUUUAUGUUUACUCGGUAUUUGAUCGACUGCUUGUCUUAACUCCUCGACUGACCGUAAUCGACUGACCGUAAUCGACUGACUGAUCCCCCUGCCAGCGUACUGCGGGCUUAUAUAGGGCCUCCGGGAACCGUUAUUCCCCUUUUGCGGACGGCCCGCCGAAACUCUCCAUACCGGGUCCAAAGUCCAUGGCUCCAGUUUGACCCUUUUGUCCUUCAUGCGCUUUUUCCCGCCGAUGUCCAGCCUGAUGCUGUCGUCCCGCUGAUUCCCGUGACGCAUAUGGCAUGCUUGUGUGCCGCUCCGCUGCCGAGAUGUGGCACCUUCUCUCCCGCGGCGUCCCGUUACUUCCUUUUGCACACGGCACCCUCGCUCUUCUCGUCAAGUCUCCGCUCUCUCUUUCUCCAGCCUUGGUCUCCAAACUCUGUUGGUCUCCAAACCCGCUCCAAACUCUCUUGCUCUCCAAACUCCCUUGCUCUCCAAAAUCUCUUGCUCUCCAAACUCUCUUGCUCUCCAAACUCUCACGUUCUCCGUCCUUGAUCUCCAAACUCUCACGUUCUUCGUCCUUGAUCUCCAAACCCCCACGUUCUCCGUUCUUGAUCUCCAAACUCUCACGUUCUCCAAACGCUCUUCGCCGCGUACCUGGUGAGCAGCCGGCCAUCUGCUGCUGGGAUUUGUGCGGUGUUAUUCAACUCCUCACAUUCACCCCUUCAGGAAAGAUUUAAGAAAAAUCAGCGCUCCCACUCUGCGGCGUUCCCUUGUGUAUCCUAGCCCUUGAGUCAUGGCGCAUCUCGUCCCGAUCACCUCGGCGCUCCCUCGUUGCUCCCUCGAAGCUUUUACCCUGUUACGUUUCCACAGCGCUGGUCGUCCUCCGCAUGGCACCGAUACUAAUCGGCUAUCGAUACCCAGGGGGCCUGCUCACGAUAUCGAUAUCGCAGGUGCGGCGUUGCCACUUGCUCGCCGCGAUGUUUAUCAUCACCGAUAUUUCCAUUUUCUUUUCUUGUGCCAAAUGAUCGCACUAUCAUCCAGUGCCAAUCGACCGCCUAUUGAGGCGCACCCUUCCCUGUUAUAUGGUGAUUUUGUAGAGAAGAAGGGCACUGACGAAGAGGGUAACAAGAACAUGCGACAAGUAAUAGACUUUCGCAAACUUAAUGAGACAAAGACCCCAUGCCAAAUAUCGCAAUGAUAUUGGGGAAGUUUUGACAACAUUGCACCUUAAGUCGGGUUAUCACCAGAUAAUGCUCGCAGAACGCGACCUUGAGAAAAUUUCCCUUUCGGUAAACGGGGGAAAAUAUAAAUUUCGAAGGCUUCCUUUUGGUCUGAAAAAUGCGGCCAACGCGUUUCAAAGAGCAAUUGACGACAUUUUGAGAGAGAACAUCGUCAAAUUUUGCUACGUAUAUGUGGAUGAAAAUGAACAAUCCCACGUCACACAUAUAAAUUGAGUUCUAAAGAACCUUUACGAAGCAAACAUAAGGGUGUCAGUAGAAAAAUCGCGCUUCUUCAAAAAGAGCGUGAGUUUUUAAAAAUUUUUUCCAUUUAGCCACAUAGCACAAAUUUUUACUAGCUGCAAGCUUAGCUAAUGAAAUACUUGUUUAAGGCUAAGUUAUUUUCGUUUGGUGGUGGGCAACCUUGUCAUAAAUAAAAAAAAACUAGCUCCGAAUUCAAACCACAGGGUCAAAAUCAUCCCAAUCCUCUUCUUCUUUACUAUGGAGUCGGCGGUAUAGACAUUCAGCGAACCUUUCAGUAAGGGCGCGUAGUGGAAGAAACUGAGAAUAUGAGCGAUAUGUUCCCCCAGUCGCACAUGAAGCAACUUUUAAAUGUGAACACAGCUCACCUCCGCGACCUGAUCGACUCGAUAGGCGUACACCACAGGGUAACCAGGAGUUCAGACUUUUUAGUAUCACAAUUAAUCAAUUCAAACAAUAGACAAAAAGAAAUAAAUACGGGAAUAAAAAGUCAAAUUAAUGAAUUAACGUCAACGGUCAAUCAAAUAUUUUUAAGUUUCACUUCAAAUGCCAAAAAUUACAUUUCUUGUUCUAAAAAAUAAUACUUACACAUUUAUUUGUGUCUCGCUCUAUUUUGAAAACAAAUUUUUUUCUAAUUCUAAGUGCAAUCUCUCACAUA
This is a long non-coding RNA of Drosophila biarmipes, 3917 nucleotides long. RefSeq lists it as uncharacterized. The transcript is spliced from 3 exons. The record is from RefSeq and is a predicted model, not a curated record. Lineage: Eukaryota; Metazoa; Arthropoda; Insecta; Diptera; Drosophilidae.